This 321-nucleotide ribosomal RNA is filed under the name Sandonidae sp. RNAcentral describes it as "SSU rRNA". The stretch from base 102 to 321 matches the Rfam family "Eukaryotic small subunit ribosomal RNA", at positions 734 to 955 of the family's 1831-position model. The record is from RNAcentral. Lineage: Eukaryota; Cercozoa; Glissomonadida; Sandonidae.
GAUUUCUGGCACGUCACCUCUUGCCGGCCACGGUUUCGUGUGUCAGUGCUGGAGGUUCGGGCCAUCCUUCCAAUCGCUGUUGGUUGCUCUUCACUGAGCGACCAGCGGUAUUGGAUCUUUUACUUUGAAAAAAUUAGAGUGUUUAAAGCAGGCUUUUGCUAUGAAUACAUUAGCAUGGAAUAAUAAUCUAGGACUUCGGUUCUAUUUUGUUGGUUUCUAUAACUGAAGUAAUGAUUGAUAGGGAUAGUUGGGGGUGCUAGUAUUGGCCGGCCAGAGGUGAAAUUCUUGGAUUCGGUCAAGACUAACUUAUGCGAAAGCAUU